ACUGUCAGAUCCGAGUGUGUGCACUCAACACAUUAUACCAUGACUGAGGGGGUUUGUCUAAGCGUUAAAGGCAGUUGAUCAAUACAGGUGGGUCAGCUGAUCAACCCAGGUAAAAUUUCCAGGUAGAUCUUCUGGUGUGGAGUUCACAGGUAUCCUCAGAUGUCCCCUAUCACAGAAAGGACAGGGUAUGGUGGCACUUCAGUGUACUUAAUCAGGUUUUUGCUGAUUUGCUAAAGGUAUAAAAAAAAAAAGGCUGGUUCUCAACACUUGGAGCAAGGGACAAUACUUUGUUGUGGAUACAAUAUGUACUUUACACAAGUUACAAGGAGGACAUGUACACGACAACAAAAGUAUGAAGAAGUUCAACCUAAUAAUUAUGUCAUAAUAAUCCUGUAAUUUCCAAAUAUUUUUUUGUCAAUAAAUAUCAUGCAGGGAUCAUUCUGGGUCAUGCAAAAAAUUUCCAACCUAAAUUCUGGGCUUUAUUUUGCAUGCACAAUAAAUUGCAUUAUGAUACUUUCAAUGAGAUUUUCAACUAAAACACUGGUAAAAAAAUCACCUAGCAUUACACCAAAUUAUAGUUUAUACUUGUAGGUAAAAAGUUCUGUAUGUAUUAAUACUGAUUAAUUAUAUAUUCAGUAGUGUGAAAAAAAUAAUUGUUUAGAGAUCACAUUUAUGAACACAAAGGAGAUGACACAUUACUUGGAAUAAUGGAAAAGUGUUUUAAACAUUGGUUUUUAGUAUUUUGAAAGCACUUCUCUAUAAUAUGUGAAAUGACGCAAAUUAAAUUAUAGAAAGUAAUGACAACCUUAAUUAGGUUUUGAUGGAUUUAUUUCAUUUUUGUCCCACAACAUGGAAAUGUAGGCCUAGUCUUUAACUUUUGUUGAGAUUAAUAUAACAAUAAGCCUCGGUCAGGUUUAUAAUAGACGAUUACAUCAACAUAACAGUUUUUUCUGUCUACAGGUGACGUGCAUUAUAUAUUAUAAAUCAGUGUCUAGAAUAUAAAGUCUUCAUUAAUAUUUCCCUACAUGUUUAUAAAUUAAUGAUAUAAUCAACUACAUGAACAUACAGUAAUGCUUUAAAAAGUUUAAAAGGGCAAAAUGUUAAACUGUUUAAAAAUUAAUUUUUUUUUACAAUAAUGUACGAAACUAUGGAAGCAAAUUAUUGUUAUUAUGUAUAACAAAUACAUGAAAUUAAAGAUCUGUCUACCAGCUCCUAUCACAUUAUUUCGAUCAAUGAAUAAUAUCUCCAACAUUAGAUAUUUUUUGGGGUUGCAUGUCUAAAUAAUAUUCUUCAAGUUCAAACAGAUAAAUUUAUGGUAAGUUCUAUCUUUCUUUUUAAUACGAAAUGGAAUUUGCUGAUAACUGCUUAUUGUUUGUAUACAAAAGGCAACAAAAAUAAACCAUUUCCUACAUUUCUUAAAAAUAAAACUUUCUUUACCAGUGUUGGAAAUAAAAAAUGCUGGUGUCAUAUUUUCUAUAUUUUCAUUGUUUAAUUUAUAGCUAAAUAUAUGUGCAACGCAGCUACGCUAGUUAACUCAGUAUUACAAACAUAUUUUCUAUGUUUUCAUUUUUGACUUAAUUGCCAUAUAUAUAAAUAUGUGCAACGCAGUUACGCUUGUCAGUAUUAAAUGUAACAUGUACAGUACAGUGUUGUGUGCAAUUGAUGGUAUCAGCCUAUAUCAAUUGAAAAAAUAAAACAACACGUCAUUGUUUUUUAUUCGAAAUGUAUGUACCUAUAGACGCAUUGAAGAACGGGGUUAUUGUGCAAAUCUACCUAUAACUCGGUCCUAUUUACCUCUCUGCCAGGUAGUUAGCCCAGGUCAGGUCAAGGUGCCUGAACAUGUUCAAAGACGAAUUUUCAAACAAAAAGUACAAUGCACGUCCCUUAUAUAGCAUUGUUUUCAAAGCAUACGCACAUAUAUUUAUAAAUAUAUAAUUGGAAUAAAGUUUAUAUUAUACUGCUGACUGUUGUAUAAGACAUAUAAAUGCACAAAACGGUUCGAUACGAGCACAAUAACAUCGUCACCAAUGUAAGCAUGCUUGCUCACGAGCAUUUGUUUACAUUGACAUCGUGCCGCUGGACAUAUUCGUCCCCUAAUCUAUGUGGUAUAACAGUGAUUUCUGUAUAUGUAUGCACACCGAAAACUCGAAUAUAUGUGUAAUUAUCUAUCUACGUUCAUUAAAUACAUAUUUACCUUGUA
Molecule: long non-coding RNA, 2200 nt
Organism: Pecten maximus
Lineage: Eukaryota; Metazoa; Mollusca; Bivalvia; Pectinida; Pectinidae
Exons: 2
Source: RefSeq, a predicted model, not a curated record